GACGAACGCUGGCGGCGUGCCUAAUACAUGCAAGUAGAACGCUGAAGAGAGGAGCUUGCUCUUCUUGGAUGAGUUGCGAACGGGUGAGUAACGCGUAGGUAACCUGCCUUGUAGCGGGGGAUAACUAUUGGAAACGAUAGCUAAUACCGCAUAACAAUGGAUGACACAUGUCAUUUAUUUGAAAGGGGCAAUUGCUCCACUACAAGAUGGACCUGCGUUGUAUUAGCUAGUAGGUGAGGUAAUGGCUCACCUAGGCGACGAUACAUAGCCGACCUGAGAGGGUGAUCGGCCACACUGGGACUGAGACACGGCCCAGACUCCUACGGGAGGCAGCAGUAGGGAAUCUUCGGCAAUGGGGGCAACCCUGACCGAGCAACGCCGCGUGAGUGAAGAAGGGUUUCGGACCGUAAAGCUCUGUUGUAAGUCAAGAACGGGUGUGAGAGUGGAAAGUUCACACUGUGACGGUAGCUUACCAGAAAGAGACGGCUAACUACGUG
Molecule: ribosomal RNA, 497 nt
Filed under: uncultured bacterium
Lineage: Bacteria
Description: partial 16S ribosomal RNA
Rfam family: Bacterial small subunit ribosomal RNA
Source: RNAcentral